AGUAACGCGUGAGGAACCUGCCUCAAAGAAGGGGGACAACAGUUGGAAACGACUGCCAAUACCGCAUAAGCCCACGGCUCGGCAUCGAGCAGAGGGAAAAGGAGCAAUCCGCUUUGAGAUGGCCUCGCGUCCGAUUAGCUAGUUGGUGAGGUAAUGGCCCACCAAGGCGACGAUCGGUAGCCGGACUGAGAGGUUGAACGGCCACAUUGGGACUGAGACACGGCCCAG
Molecule: ribosomal RNA, 228 nt
Filed under: uncultured bacterium
Lineage: Bacteria
Description: partial 16S ribosomal RNA
Rfam family: Bacterial small subunit ribosomal RNA
Source: RNAcentral